Molecule: ribosomal RNA, 272 nt
Filed under: Escherichia coli
Lineage: Bacteria; Pseudomonadati; Pseudomonadota; Gammaproteobacteria; Enterobacterales; Enterobacteriaceae
Also listed under: 16 other names
Description: partial 16S ribosomal RNA
Rfam family: Bacterial small subunit ribosomal RNA
Source: RNAcentral
AAAUUGAAGAGUUUGAUCAUGGCUCAGAUUGAACGCUGGCGGCAGGCCUAACACAUGCAAGUCGAACGGUAACAGGAAGCAGCUUGCUGCUUCGCUGACGAGUGGCGGACGGGUGAGUAAUGUCUGGGAAACUGCCUGAUGGAGGGGGAUAACUACUGGAAACGGUAGCUAAUACCGCAUAAUGUCGCAAGACCAAAGAGGGGGACCUUCGGGCCUCUUGCCAUCGGAUGUGCCCAGAUGGGAUUAGCUUGUUGGUGGGGUAACGGCUCACC